UCAGUGUUUAAUUCAUUCUCUGGAAAUGCAGCUUGUUUACAGCCAUUCAUUGCGGGGGCUUGGAGCAGCAGGGGUCUGAUCCACUCCAAAUUUCAGGCAAAAUACUGUCAUCCUCAUUUUGCUCUUGUUUGUUCCUAGGAGAGAACACAAGGUCAAAUCUUCAACUAGUACAAAGUUGCUCUGAACUACUGAGUGAGGGGUUUUUUUUGUUUGUUUGUAUUUUGGGGGUUUUUGGCUUUUUUUGUGUUAUUGGUGGGUUUUUUUGGUUUUUUUUUGUUUGUUUGUUUGUUUGACAAAGUUUUUCCUCUGCUCUCUCUCCCUUUCUAUGCCUCCCUCACCUUCCAGCCCAGGAGGAGCCCAGGGUACCAGAGGAUUUGUGUUUCUUCCUUGGGUGAUAAAGGCUUCUAGAAGGAAUUAAGGCUGGGUGGCCAAAACCAGCAGCUCCCAAGGCUGAAGGUGUCUGCGUUAUCCAGCCUGGAAUCACACCCUGAAGCCUUUUCCUUCUCGGUGCUUUGAGCAUCUCACACCCUGGAGCUGCUCUCGCUGACCUCGCGGGUUCUGCUGCAGAGGAUGGAUGCUCCUGGCGUAAUUCACUCUUUGAUGUCCUUCAGAGGAGCGCUUGGGAGGGUGGCAGGAAAACAACGGCAAAAAAACUCCAGGAAAGGCGCUGCCUCGGCGGAGCGACAGCAAUUACCGGGCUCGUUAAACCCAGCAAAGCAAACCCUGUGCGGAACGAGGGGAAAUAAAGCGAAUUAAGAGGUGGGCAGAGCCUGGCACUGCCUCCUCCCGGCGGCCGAGCCCCGGGGAAAGCACCGAGCCAAGCUUCGCUUUCACACGGCAGGAAUGAAUCACGGCGGCUGCCGGCAGGCUCGGGGAGAGCUCCCCGGCUGCUAAUUAGUAAAUAAGGGCUAAUCCAAUCAAUUAAGUGCUCAGCCUGGCGCGCCUCUGCUGGAAUAGGGGCAGAGCGGGGUUUUGGAGGUGGUUUUGGCUGUCGGGGUCUCUGCCACAGGGAAAAAAAAAACAACUUCUUCAGGGAGCGGUGCUGCCUCUCCG
Molecule: long non-coding RNA, 1053 nt
Filed under: Chloebia gouldiae (Gouldian finch)
Lineage: Eukaryota; Metazoa; Chordata; Aves; Passeriformes; Passeridae
Description: Erythrura gouldiae (Gouldian finch) lncRNA (ENSEGOG00005006013.1)
Source: RNAcentral